This 526-nucleotide ribosomal RNA is filed under the name Amazonian soil bacterium M16. RNAcentral's name for it is "partial 16S ribosomal RNA". The record is from RNAcentral.
UCUUGAACAUCCGUGGUCGUCGCCCUCCUUGCGGUUAGGCUAACGGCUUCUGGAGCAACUCACUCCCAUGGUGUGACGGGCGGUGUGUACAANGCCCGGGAACGUAUUCACCGCAGCAUANCUGAUCUGCGAUUACUANCGAUUCCGACUUCACGAAGUCGAGUUGCAGACUUCGAUCCGGACUGGGAUCGGCUUUCUGGGAUUGGCUCCACCUCGCGGUAUUGCAACCCUCUGUACCGACCAUUGUAGUACGUGUGUAGCCCUGGCCGUAAGGGCCAUGAUGACUUGACGUCAUCCCCACCUUCCUCCGGUUUGUCACCGGCAGUCUCCUUAGAGUUCCCACCAUUACNUGCUGGCAACUAAGGACAAAGGGUUGCGCUCGUUGCGGGACUUAACCCAANCAUCUCACGACACGAGCUGACNACAGCCAUNGCGGGCACCUGUGUUCUGAAUCCCGAAGGCACUCCCCGCAUCUCUGGCAGGGAUUCCCAGAACAUNUUCAAGGGCCAAGGUUAANGGUUCUUCC